AAAAUAUUUUUAUUUUUAUUUUUAUAUUGAUCUAAAUUAUUCAUUUUAUUUAUAAAUCAUGAGAUACUAUUGAUUGCCUCUCAAAAAAUAUUCCUCACAUACAUGUCAGGCCUCCCAUGAUUACUAAAAUUUCUCAUAAAUCACAUACAUAAUAAAUUACUCAACAUCAACAUAUAAAAUGAGCCGAGCUCUUUCAUUCUGCAAUAAUUUUUUUUAACAGAAAUUUCGUCAGAUGCAAUUGAUGUUAGAAGGUCAAGCAAAUAGCAUGCAUCUGUAUUUGAGGAUGGUCAGUUAUUACCUUACAUUUCAAACGAUCCAAAAACCAUUGGGGCUCACAAAUUUUCAAAGGAACUGUCAACGAAACAUAACCACUCCCCAUUCCACCAUGUAAUUAAGUUUUACAAGAAUAUCUCAAGUGAAUGAGGUUCAACCUAUACAACUUGUCAACACAAGAAGUAAACUAGAAAAUAUAUGACCUACUGUAUACUCGAGCUUUCACCUUUGACCUUGAUUCGAGACUGAAAUUCUUCACAGCAGCUGCAAAUUACGCUUCAAUAACCAGGUCAGAUUCCUUCAAACACAUGAAAAGCAAUCUAUAGGUUAGUAAUAUAUGUAAAUUACUAAAUUGAAAAUCUGGAAAAAGAGUGCAAGGACCACAGAAUUGUGAUUUCAGAAACAGGGGAAGGACGGGGGGAUUUAUGGAAAUAUUUGCAAGUGCAAUGAUCAGAAGACAGGAGAAACCACAACCAUGAAUUAUAUUUAUGCAAGCACAAUGAAUGAACAUGUCUGGGUGAGGAUUUUCUUAGCAUCAGCCCACUAGGCUGGUGAACUAUCGAGUACAACUUUCAUUCCAACACUCAAAACAAAACCCUUCAUGGAAAAAAAAUAAGCUGAUUCCAAAACUAGGCAAUCCUUCCGUAGUCUUUUCUCCCUCGGGAUGCCGGUGGAAUGCUUGUGAAAGGAUAAUUAGCCCUACGCCCCCAUGGCAUGCCAUUAUUGAGUGAACCAUUUCCUGGAGAAAGUGGCCCCCCAGAAUUAAAAUUGGGUUCUGGGGGCUGGACCUUGAUAUGAUUCCAUUCACUACCCCGAACAGCAGAUCUCCCAUGACUGAAGCGUGGAAGAGAUUGCUGUCCCAAACGACUUGGUGAAUUUUGCGAGAUAUGAGGCAUGAAGUGAGAAGGCUUUGACAUUGGACGGCCAUAUCCAGCAUGCAUAUCAUGAGCUGAAGGAGGGCUGCCCACUUCAGUGUGUGUAAAUGCUUGAAUAGGUCCAUUUUGUCUUUGAAUCAGUGAAUUGGAGCUCUGGUUUGAAGUCCGGUUGGAUCUUCCAAAACCAACUGAUGGAUCACCUGAACCAAGAUGCAUUCCUUUGCUGAACUCGAUGCUUAUGGAGCUGACCUCUGAACUAUCUUCUUGUAGAAGCUGUUCCUCACUGGGACACAAAUAAUAGAUGCCACACAAACAAGUUAAAGAAGCACAAUGCUAUUAAAUUACUUGGUUAUUCCAGGCAAGACAGCUAUUAGUAUCAUAAAAUUAACACUCAGCUACUUCUGGAACUUCAAUGGUUAAUAAUAAUUAGGAAAACACAGAUUGAAGAUGCUCUUAGCAGAUGCACCAUCUAAACUUUUAAAUGAACAAAUUGAGCUAAAAUUUUAUUAAGACGGGAAAAUAAAUGCACCAUGCUUCUCCUGAAUAAGUAAGGCAUAUUGAAAAGUUGAUGAUGAAGAUUGCAAAUCUAUAAACAGAAAAACAGGCAUACAAAUUAGACUUAAAUCUAACAGUAUUAUGUAAGACCAAAUCAUUCAAGUACCAAAUUGGUCCUCCACCAACUUGUUGCAUUAAAUGACACAAUUUUGUUUAGAUUAAUUGAGGACAACCUAACCUUUUGCCAUUGACCAACCUAUGCCAUACUAAUAAACUCCAAGAAAUGCAAUCGUCAAUAUCUUCAAUUAACUCUAGUUUGUAUUGACAAAUAAAUAAAUAAAUUGCAUUUGAUAAAUGGGCCAGCACCUGCUUCUAAGCUAAACUCAAAUAGUACCUCCAGAAUAAGAACCAUUCAGUGCUAAACCCUAAAAACUGAGCUAAAUGCAUGCUGAAUAUAUAAUUGCCGUUCAUGAGUAUCUGCAGGCAUCUAAAAGAUGAAGAUGUUUGAUGUGGUUGAAGUUUAUAUUGCAACAUGAACUGCAUUUCCAUACCUGUAAUUGGGAUCCCAAUCCCCUGGAUCUGGCAAUGAUAGGCUAGCCUCAGGCUUAUCAUGAGCUGGUCCCACACUUUGAGAGAAAUGCAUAUUAGAAGGUUUGAAAGAGCCAGGCAUAUUCUGGUUGGCAGAAUGACCAGCAGUACUUCCACUACCUCCAUGCUGCUGCAUCCAACUUGCAGUGCUAGAAUUUGAUUGGCAAUGUGAGGGUGAACUUCCAAAUACUGAAGGAUUUCCCUCAGCUAGGGUAGAACUGGUACCAUCAGCAUAUUGUCCUUGCCAAUGCAAAGAUGGCACACUCUCUUGAGAAUGAGAACUUCCAGAAUACCCCCAACAUUUUCUUCUAUUGAAUUGGGUAACUGCAGCCACUUUUCCUAAAGGUGAUCCAUGACAAUUGCUUCUUGCUGGUGAAGUUGGACCGUAAUGUCCUGGAGAACCGGUAGAGACCUGAUUGUAUGAACUUGGUGGAGUGAAUUGUGACGGACUGGUUCCAAGGGGGAGUGGUGCAAAAUUUCCUGUCGAUGGACUCAUACCAAUUCCAUUUGAAUGUGAAUACUGAAUAAACCUUCGUCUUGCAUCUGGACUACUUCCAAGCAUUGAUAGACCAGCUUUUGCAUGCAUGUUCAUCCCAGAAGGACCAACUGGUGAAUAAUAUGCAAACAUAUUACUGCCAUCCCCAUAACUACUUCCAAGGCCAAUGCCAUCAUUGUAACUACCAUGGCUUCCUAUACUGCCAUAACUAUUACCAUGCCCAUAGGGAACCACUUGAAAAUGUGGGCUGUUAUGAAGAGAUACUCUGGUCCUACCAGGAAUAUUAGGAGAGAGACCAGCAGCAAACCAAUGCCCGCCGCCUGGGUGAUGGUCCACCUUAAAAUUUUG
Molecule: unclassified non-coding RNA, 3075 nt
Filed under: Hevea brasiliensis (rubber tree)
Lineage: Eukaryota; Viridiplantae; Streptophyta; Magnoliopsida; Malpighiales; Euphorbiaceae
Source: RNAcentral